GUAGGGGGCAAGCGUUAUCCGGAUUUACUGGGUGUAAAGGGAGCGUAGGCGGUGCGGCAAGUCAGAAGUGAAAGCCCGGGGCUCAACUCCGGGACUGCUUUUGAAACUGUCGGACUGGAGUGUCGGAGAGGUAAGUGGAAUUCCUAGUGUAGCGGUGAAAUGCGUAGAUAUUAGGAGGAACACCAGUGGCGAAGGCGGCUUACUGGACGAUCACUGACGCUGAGGCUCGAAAGCGUGGGGAGCAAA
RNAcentral lists this ribosomal RNA (246 nucleotides) under uncultured bacterium. RNAcentral's name for it is "partial 16S ribosomal RNA". It matches the Rfam family "Bacterial small subunit ribosomal RNA", at positions 527 to 772 of the family's 1533-position model. The record is from RNAcentral.